ACAUCCCUUACCCAAUACCAAAACGUGUUCAACAAAUGAGGGAAUAAACUAAUUAAAAUAAAUGUUCGAAAGUAAGAACUACAAUUAUAACUAUGGGAUCUUUAGGCGUCCCUUUUGCCGUCUUCCUGUGGAACGGGCUCGGGAACCACGUCUUCCUGAUCUGAAAUGGUUAAGUAAGGAGUGAGCUACACUAGCCUUAUAAAAACAUCACUUUACCUCACUGCCACAGGAGUAAGGGUGGGUAGAAAACAAAAACGACCAAUGGAGCAUAAUUUGUAAUAAAUCCAUUUGUUCAUAAAAAUGUUUACUUUCCAUUUACCUGGGUGAGAUCCAUAAAACAAUACACAAGCAACACAUUAUCAUCAUCAC
This 369-nucleotide long non-coding RNA is filed under the name Carica papaya (papaya). RNAcentral's name for it is "long non-coding RNA (CPAP_LNC006434)". Lineage: Eukaryota; Viridiplantae; Streptophyta; Magnoliopsida; Brassicales; Caricaceae. The record is from RNAcentral.